GUGCCAGCAGCCGCGGUAAUACGUAGGGUGCGAGCGUUAAUCGGAAUUACUGGGCGUAAAGCGUGCGCAGGCGGUUUGCUAAGACCGAUGUGAAAUCCCCGGGCUCAACCUGGGAACUGCAUUGGUGACUGGCAGGCUAGAGUAUGGCAGAGGGGGGUAGAAUUCCACGUGUAGCAGUGAAAUGCGUAGAGAUGUGGAGGAAUACCGAUGGCGAAGGCAGCCCCCUGGGCCAAUACUGACGCUCAUGCACGAAAGCGUGGGGAGCAAACAGGAUUAGAUACCCUGGUAGUCC
This 292-nucleotide ribosomal RNA is filed under the name uncultured microorganism. RNAcentral's name for it is "partial 16S ribosomal RNA". It matches the Rfam family "Bacterial small subunit ribosomal RNA", at positions 505 to 796 of the family's 1533-position model. The record is from RNAcentral.